RNAcentral lists this ribosomal RNA (425 nucleotides) under uncultured bacterium. RNAcentral's name for it is "partial 16S ribosomal RNA". It matches the Rfam family "Bacterial small subunit ribosomal RNA", at positions 354 to 796 of the family's 1533-position model. The record is from RNAcentral.
GUGGGGAAUCUUGCGCAAUGGGCGAAAGCCUGACGCAGCCAUGCCGCGUGGAUGAUGAAGGUCUUAGGAUUGUAAAAUCCUUUCACCGGUGAAGAUAAUGACUGUAGCCGGAGAAGAAGCCCCGGCUAACUUCGUGCCAGCAGCCGCGGUAAUACGAAGGGGGCUAGCGUUGCUCGGAUUUACUUGGCGUAAAGGGCGCGUAGGCGGACAUUUAAGUCAGGGGUGAAAUCCCGGGGCUCAACCUCGGAACUGCCUUUGAUACUGGGUGUCUUGAGUAUGAGAGAGGUGUGUGGAACUCCGAGUGUAGAGGUGAAAUUCGUAGAUAUUCGGAAGAACACCAGUGGCGAAGGCGACACACUGGCUCAUUACUGACGCUGAGGCGCGAAAGCGUGGGGAGCAAACAGGAUUAGAUACCCGUGUAGUCC